This 1408-nucleotide long non-coding RNA is filed under the name Zea mays. RNAcentral describes it as "long non-coding RNA (ZMAY_LNC004467)". The record is from RNAcentral. Lineage: Eukaryota; Viridiplantae; Streptophyta; Magnoliopsida; Poales; Poaceae.
AAUAUCUUGUUCUUAGUAAGAUGAUCACUCAUAGGUUUCAUAAUGAUCAUACAAUUAGAUUCUCCAGACUAUAAUAACAUAUUCAACAGUCAUCCAUGUCUAGUAUGUUAUCAAAGAAACCAAUGCAAGGUUGUCAUACUAAAGAGUCUAUAUUUGGAUAGAAAUUCAAAAAUUAAAAUCAGAAAAUUAAACAUCUUAUGUGCUUUAGUAUUCUUGGUUAGUUAGUCCUCUAGGCUGUGCCACAUGAGUACAUGACCUGAAUAGGCUGAAUCUCAUGAAGACAACUCAAUGCUCCACAAACCACUUUCUACUUGUCUCCACAUCCGAGCAUAAAUCCGUACAUGUAUUAUGCUUAUCAGCUCUACCCUCUCAUUCCUGUACGAUUUUGGCAUGAACAGACCUGCAUUCAGCAAUUCGUGUCUCGUCCGGAGAUGAACUGAACAGAAAGACAGGAUAUUCAUGAAUCACCUGCACCCAGGGACGAAGUCGGGCCAGCGGGCGGGAUCACAGCAGGACUCCGGGAGCGUGUGGUGAUAUUACCAAUGCCCACGAAUGACCUGAUAAUUCACAAAGAGCAGGCCUUGAGUUGGAUGAAAAAAAGUAUAGUGCACUUAAAAAAUAUCUGAAACCCUUAAGUCCAAUUUCCCUGAUGCAGUCAAGAGGGGAAAAGAAAAUGAAUAAAUCCUUGGCUGCAACUAUACUGAUUUGUGAAAUCUAUUAUAUAAGUGCUGAGUAAAAUCACUCUGACACCAAAACUGAAACAUCAGACCUGAGAACAUAUACUUACUAGGGGUACUGGGCGUAUAUGUCGUAUACUGCUCUACAGUGGACUACGUACUGGGGGUGCAUUGUUCUGAAAAGGACCAAUUCAAAUCAUCGUAAAAGCAUAAUAGGAAGAACAAAAACAAUGUAGGAUUGGUGGUCUACGUGUUUACAACGUGGAGUGUACACGAGAUCUGAUAAUUGAGCAUAAUAACACAUUUAAAUUAGCAGAAAUAAGAAUCACAUCGGUGGAUAAUGCAUGCUUGUUAUAGUAAGUAGGGCUAGAUGACUGACCUGCUAAUGCAUAUUCAUGUAAGGAAGCAGAAGCAUUAGAUGAGUCUGAAUCAUUGGGUACUGAUGCAUGAUCAUGAGAGGACCAAUUCAAAUCAGUAUAAAAGCAUAAAAGGAAGAACAUAAAAAUGUAUAAUUUGGUGGUCUACGUGUUUACAAAGCGGAGCAUACGCGCGAUCUAGUAAUUAGGCAUAAUAGCGUAUUCAAAUUAGCAUAAAAAGACAUAUUUAGGAAAUAAAAAUUACAGAGGUGGAUCAUGCAUGUUGGUUACAGUAAGUAGGGCUAGAUGGCUGACUUACUGAUGCAUGUUCAUGUAAGGAAGCAGAAGCAUCAGAUGAGUCUGAAUCAUUUGGUA